GAUGAACGCUGGCGGCGUGCCUAAUACAUGCAAGUCGAGCGAACAGACGAGGAGCUUGCUCCUCUGACGUUAGCGGCGGACGGGUGAGUAACACGUGGAUAACCUACCUAUAAGACUGGGAUAACUUCGGGAAACCGGAGCUAAUACCGGAUAAUAUAUUGAACCGCAUGGUUCAAUAGUGAAAGACGGUUUUGCUGUCACUUAUAGAUGGAUCCGCGCCGCAUUAGCUAGUUGGUAAGGUAACGGCUUACCAAGGCAACGAUGCGUAGACGACCUGAGAGAGUGAUCGGCCACACUGGAACUGAGACACGGUCCAGACUCCUACGAGAGGCAGCAGUAGGGAAUCUGCCGCAAUGGGCGAAAGCCUGACGGAGCAACGCCGCGUGAGUGAUGAAGGUCUUCGGAUCGUAAAACUCUGUUAUUAGGGAAGAACAAAUGUGUAAGUAACUAUGCACGUCUUGACGGUACCUAAUCAGAAAGCCACGGCUAACUACGUG
RNAcentral lists this ribosomal RNA (497 nucleotides) under uncultured bacterium. RNAcentral describes it as "partial 16S ribosomal RNA". It matches the Rfam family "Bacterial small subunit ribosomal RNA", at positions 28 to 507 of the family's 1533-position model. The record is from RNAcentral.